Molecule: long non-coding RNA, 4335 nt
Organism: Macaca fascicularis (crab-eating macaque)
Lineage: Eukaryota; Metazoa; Chordata; Mammalia; Primates; Cercopithecidae
Source: Ensembl
GGGGAUCCACAAGAUAGCCUUAAAACCUUACAGAGAGACCCCCCAACUUAGUUUUUUCUUAAGCAAAUCAGUAGGGUGUUACUUGCUACCAAAUAAUGCCAACUAAGACAACUGAGAUACAGUAUAUUCUCAUAAAACACCAUAGUUAGGGUUGGUGACUUGAUCCUAUAGAAAAGGGUCUCCAACCCCUGGGCCACAGACCGGUACUGGUCCCUGGUCUGUGAGGAACCAGGCCAUACAGCAGGAGGUAAGGGAGCAUUCCUGCCUGAGCUUUGCCUCCUGUCAGAUCAGCCGCAACAUUAGAUUCUCAUAGGAGUGCGAACCCCAUUGUGAACCCCACAUGCGAGGGAUCUAGGGAGUGCCCUCCUUAAGAGAAUCUAAUGCCUGAUGAUCUGAAAUAGAGCAGUUUCAUUCUACAACCAUCCCCGCCCCCCCGUCCCCCAUCCAUGAAAAAAUUGUCUUCCACAAAACUAGUCCCUGGUGCCGAAAAGGUUGGAGACUGCCAUUCUGAGAAAUACCAACAAAACGUCACGUUUAUUGUCUGCCAAGUGAGUCAGAUUUAGAUGAGGCAGAACUUAGUAUAGAGCUGGGAUGAAUCAGAAAGGGUGGGCCUUGAAACCUGGUAGAAUGUGUCCAAGAAAACUGAUUAAAAGGCUUAGAAGUCCCUCUACAGUUUCAGGACACCCUCUUAACAGAUGGCUGUAUCUUUAUCUGUGGUUGGUCUUGUGGAAUACUGACCUUCUGCCAGCAUUAGCCCAUGUUUCUAUCUCACACCACAUCGUGUAUAUUUUCAUUGUGUAUUUGGACUCAGAAUAAGUUUGGGCCUUUUAAUUAUGGUAUACCCAAUUACUUAGUCCUACUCACACCCUGAUCCUUUAAAAAUUCUUGAUUGUGUUAAUUGCAUUUUUCUCAAGUUUACUCCUUGUAACUCUGUGUGGUUUUUUUAAUCUUUAUUCAUUUAGUAAAGUUGAAACCUUUCAUAGCACAAUAUAGUGAUUAAGUGCAUAGGCUUGGGACUUAAACACAUGUGGGCUUGCUUGUCUCCCAGUUCUGCUGCUUACCACCUAUGUGACCUUUCACUCUUUACCUUUCCACUCAGCCUGUUCUCUCACUAUAAAAUGAGACUGAUGCCAGCAUCAUCUUCACAGAGUGAUUAUGGAGAUAAUUAAGUUAAUGCAUGUAAAGUACUUUCCAUAAUGCCUGGCACAUAUUAUAUUAUGUAUUAGUAAAUGUAAGCACUAAAAAAAUCAGUAUUCUUCCUACACUUGAAAAUAGUUGUCUGCAUAGUGUAUUAAUGAGUUAAUUCACCUUGAUCCACGUAGUUAUCAGCCAGUAUUAACUGCUAGUAUUCGCAUUGUGCCUUUUUUAUUAUGAAACAUUUCAAUUAAUACAGAAAAAUGCAGAAAACAAUGUAAUAAAUACCUAAGUAUCUGUCAUCCAGCUUUUAUAAUCUUAUUUUUACCUAUAUAUGUUUUUUCUUUUAAAAAGGAAUGAUUAUAGUUGAAGUCUGUAUAGCCCUGUCUCAUUUCAUUUAUCUCCGUUUACCCACUUAAGUAACUGCAGCUCUGAAUUUGAUGUUUAUCAGAAUGGUUUUAUAUCCUUAUUAUAUGUAUAUAUGCAUACCUAGGAUUGUUUUUCUGAUUUUGAAACUUUAUAUAAAUGCUAUUAUUCUGUACAAAACCUUCUGGGACUUGUUUUACCACUCAUGUUUUUGAGAUGUAUCCACACUAACAUGUUUCUCUAACUCAUUCAUUUAAAUGCUGUAGUUCAUUAUCACAAUGUAUUCAUUUUCUUCUUGAGCAUCUCAGUUAUUUCCAAUUUUUGACUUAUAAACAAUGCUGCAAUGAAAUACUUGACAUAUUUCCUUGUGCACAUGUGAGCAUUUCUUGAGAUAUGUAUCUCGAACUUGAAUCACUGACCAACAGGAUAUUCUUAAUAUUCAGUUUCACCAGAUACUUCCAAAUUGAUCUCCAUAACAUACAUACCAAAUUAUACUCCUACCAGCAGUUUAUAGUUCGCAUUUUUUCCAUACCCUCCCAAUCCUGCCUUGGCAGAUUUUUUUUUCCAGUGAAUGACAAUGAAAUUUUGUUUUGGGAUUUGACAAAAUGAUUCUAGAUUCAUCUGGAAGAAAAGCAAGUAUAAGUAAGAAAGUUAAAAGGGACCUGAAAAACUAAGCCGUGCGUAUAUUUAAAAAUUGGUACCAGUAGGCAUAAUCAAAUAUUUGUUAGCUGUAGCAGAAACAAUGCAUGUUUUUCUCAGCGGUUCCACCUUCUAGCUCUCAGUCAAGCCCUGCCCAGGUGUGGUACUCCUCAUAGUUUCUUACUGUAGGUGGUCUUCUCACAUAGUAGACAGCUCUCUUGAGUUGAAUAUUGAAAAGAAGGCUUGGUGUGGGGCAGUGGCUCACGCCUGUGGUCCCAGCACUUUGGGAAGCUGAGUCAGGCGGAUUGCUUGAGGUCAGGAGUUUGAGACCAGCUGGCCAACAUGGUGAAAACCCAUCUGUAUAAAAAGUACAAAAUUAGCUGGGGGUGGUGGCGCAUGUCUGUAAUUCCAGCUACUCGGGAGGCUGAGGCACGAGAAUCGCUUGAACCCAGGAUGCAUUGGUUGCAGUGAGCUGAGAUCGCACCACUGCACUCCAGCCUGGGCGACAGAGAGAUUUUGUCUAAAAAAAAAAAAAAAAAAGGCUUAAAUCCAACUGUUUCCCUGCUGUUCAUUUUAUCGGAGAACUGGGGAUAUAGGCUACUGCACAUGAUGGGUUGCUGGAUGUGAAAUGAUAACUCAGGACUUUAAUUCUAAUUUUUCUAUAUUCUCAUGAGGUUGAGCAUAUUUUUACAAGUUCAUAAUCCGUUUUCCUCUGAUGGGAGUCACCUGUUUGAAUCCUUUGCCCUCUUGCUUUUUGGGGUUAUUUGCAAUUUUUGCAUUGAUCUUUAAACAUUGUUAAUAACUCCCAGGUACAUAUUAUUUUAUAUGUAUAUUAUAUAUAUUUUAGAGACAUAUAUGCUGAUAGUAUCUUUUCUCAGUCUAAGGCUUAUCUUUAAUUUUGUUUAUGGUGUUUUGUGUGUGUUGUUUUGCAGAAGUUUUAUUGUAUCUGAAUUGUGGCUUUUCUGUCUUUCUGAAGAAAUUCUUUACCUACUGUCAUACAAAUUUUUCUCUAAAAAUUUUAUGAUUUUGCCUUUCCAUUUAUCUUGUUAAUUCUCUUUGAAAUUACUUUUGUUUAUGGCAUGAAGUCCAUUAUUUUCCGUAUGGAUAAUCAGUUGUCUUAGCAGUUUAUUGAAUAGUCCAGUGUUUCACUGCUGAUUGUAAUGCCUUCUCUGUCAUUUAUCCUAAAUUCUUGAUAUCCGGUAAGGAAGUCUCCUCUGCCCACCCUUCUCUGUAUUUCAAAAUGGUUUUGACUGUUCUUCACCCCUGGCUCUUUCUGUGAACUUUAGGAUUAAAUGAUUACGUAGAAUUAAACAAUCAGGUUAAGAUUUUUGAUUAGAAUUACACUGAAUCUAUAGAUUAAUUUGGGAAAAGAAUGUUGUCUUUCUAUCCAUGAUCAUUCUGUAUCUCUCCAUUAAUUCAAGUAUUUAAUGGUUUUAAAAAAUAAAUUAUUGUCUCUUUGAAAAUCCUUACACAUCCUUUAUUGCACUGAUUCCUAUGUAGCUUAUGUUUUUGUUGUUGCUUUGGAGAAUAGGCUUCUUAAAAUUAAAUGUUAAAUUGAUCAAUGCUGGAGUAUAUAAAUGCUAUUGAUUUUUAUAAAAUGAUUUUGUCUAAUAAUCUUACAUAAUUCUUUUGAUAUUCUAAUGGUUUGCCUGUAGAUCCUAUUGACUUUCUAUGGAGACCGUCAUGUUGUCCUCAAAUAAGAAAAUGUUUGUCUCUUCAUUUCCAAGUCUUAUGCCUCUACUUUUAAUCAACAGCUUAAUGUUAAACAGAAGUGGUGGUGCCAGACAUCUCUGUCCUGAUUCUGAUUACUAUUUACUUUUCUUUCUCACAUGCAACUAUAACAUUAUUCAAUUCUUAUAACAUGGUGAGAUAGGUGGAAUAGGCACUAUCUCCAUUUCUAGUUAAGGCUUAGCGGGCCAGAGUAUCACUCAAAAACACACAGCUAGUAGAUGUCAGAAUAUGGACUCCAGAUUUUCUGGCUUCAAAUCCUGUGUGAUUAUCUCAAGUAUCACAGCUGUUUUCAUACAACCUAAAACAGGAUUGAUGGCAUUUAUUUAUUCAACAAACGUUUGAGUGCAUGUUGUAUACCCGAUACUCAAGAUGAAAUGAUCAUUUCAUAAUUUCUAACCUGAAGGUUAUAGUAAGAGAAGCUGAUGACAUUCUGACUAUAAUCACCUUUCUGACUUAAAAAAAAAA